RNAcentral lists this non-coding RNA (927 nucleotides) under Notophthalmus viridescens (eastern newt). The record is from RNAcentral. Lineage: Eukaryota; Metazoa; Chordata; Amphibia; Caudata; Salamandridae.
CAAAGGUUUGGUCCUAGCCUUACUAUUAAUUUUAGCUACAUUUACACAUGCAAGUAUCAGCAUCCCCGUGAAAAUGCCCUCUACCACCAAUAAGUGCUGGAGGAGCGGAUAUCAGGCACUUUCCCCUGCCAAAGACAUCUUGUUUAGCCACACCCCCAAGGGAAUUCAGCAGUGAUAAACAUUGAAAAAUAAGCGACACAAGCUUGAAUCAGUGAUAGCCAAUAGAGUCGGUAAAUCUCGUGCCAGCCACCGCGGUUAUACGAAAGACUCAAAUUAAUAAAAAUCGGCUCAAAGGGUGGUUAAAGAUAUACACACAAAUAGAACUAAAAACUAACUACGCUGUCGCACGCAAUAGUUUUUAAAAAUACAAUUUCGAAAGUAGUUCUACUAAACAAACUUGAACCCACGACAGCUAGGACCCAAACUGGGAUUAGAUACCCCACUAUGCCUAACCAUAAACUUUGAUUUAUCCGCCAGAGUACUACGAGCAACAGCUUAAAACUCAAAGGACUUGGCGGUGCUCUAUACCCCCCUAGAGGAGCCUGUUCUAUAAUCGAUAAUCCACGAUAAACCUCACCAUCUAUUGCUAAUACAGCCUAUAUACCACCGUCCAGCCCACCCUUUAAAGGACAGACAGUAGGCACAAUUAUAAACAUAAAAACGUCAGGUCAAGGUGUAGCACAUGAGAUGGAAAGAAAUGGGCUACAUUUUCUAACCUAGAAAACACGGAAAAGUUUAUGAAAUAAGACUAUAAAGGAGGAUUUAGCAGUAAAAAGAAAAAAGAGUGUUCUUUUUAAGCCGGCAAUGGAGCGCGCACACACCGCCCGUCACCCUCUUCAAAUAAUAAUAAAGUAUAAAUAAACAAAAACCAAAAAGAAGAAGAGGCAAGUCGUAACAUGGUAAGUCUACCGGAAGGUGAACUUGGAA